RNAcentral lists this ribosomal RNA (253 nucleotides) under uncultured bacterium. Its description in RNAcentral is "partial 16S ribosomal RNA". It matches the Rfam family "Bacterial small subunit ribosomal RNA", at positions 524 to 776 of the family's 1533-position model. The record is from RNAcentral.
GACGUAGGGCGCGAGCGUUGUCCGGAUUUAUUGGGCGUAAAGGGCGCGUAGGCGGCUCUGCACGUCCGUUGUGAAAUCGCCCGGCUCAACUGGGCGGGGUCAGCGGAUACGGCGGAGCUUGAGCAAGCUAGGGGGCAAUGGAAUUCCCGGUGUAGUGGUGGAAUGCGUAGAUAUCGGGAGGAACACCAGUGGCGAAGGCGGUUGCCUGGGGCUUUGCUGACGCUGAUGCGCGAAAGCGUGGGGAGCGAACAGG